AGAGCGAACGCUGGCGGCAGGCUUAACACAUGCAAGUCGAGCGGGCGUAGCAAUACGUCAGCGGCAGACGGGUGAGUAACGCGUGGGAACAUACCUUUUGGUUCGGAACAACACAGGGAAACUUGUGCUAAUACCGGAUAAGCCCUUACGGGGAAAGAUUUAUCGCCGAAAGAUUGGCCCGCGUCUGAUUAGCUAGUUGGUGAGGUAACGGCUCACCAAGGCGACGAUCAGUAGCUGGUCUGAGAGGAUGAUCAGCCACAUUGGGACUGAGACACGGCCCAAACUCCUACGGGAGGCAGCAGUGGGAAUAUUGGACAAUGGGCGCAAGCCUGAUCCAGCCAUGCCGCGUGAGUGAUGAAGGCCCUAGGGUUGUAAAGCUCUUUGUGCGGAAGAUAAUGACGGUACCGCAAGAAUAAGCCCCGGCUAACUUCGUGCCAGCAGCCGC
RNAcentral lists this ribosomal RNA (445 nucleotides) under uncultured bacterium. RNAcentral describes it as "SSU rRNA". It matches the Rfam family "Bacterial small subunit ribosomal RNA", at positions 26 to 518 of the family's 1533-position model. The record is from RNAcentral.